CCAGUCACGAUAAGGCACAUGGGGGAUGCCUAGGUAGUAAGAGCCGAUGAAGGACGUGUUAAGCUGCGAAAAGCUUCGGGGAGCUGCAAUAGAGCUUAGAUCCGGAGAUAUCCGAAUGGGGCAACCUGUAUAACUGGAGGUUAUACACGAGAGAGGUAAGUGGGUGAACUGAAACAUCUAAGUAACCCGAGGAAGAGAAAGUAAAAACGAUUCCCUGAGUAGCGGCGAGCGAACGGGGAAGAGCCUAAACUGCAUUGGUGUCAAGGGGCAGCCGUUGCCAAUGUGGGGUAGAGGGAUAGAUAAGGAGCGACUGCAAGCAGCUCGAUGAAAUAUACCAUGAAUCUGAACAGUUUGGAAAAGCUGACCGAAGAAGGUGAUAGUCCUGUAAGGGCAAAUGGUAUAGGAAAUUGUUAUCUACACCCGAGUAGUACGGAGCACGAGGAAUUCCGUAUGAAUCAGCGUGGACCAAAUCACGUAAGGCUAAAUACUCUUACUGACCGAUAGAGCAUAGUACCGUGAGGGAAAGGUGAAAAGAACCCCGGGAGGGGAGUGAAAUAGAAACUGAAACCGUGUGCUUACAAGCGGUCGGAGCAUCUUAAUGGUGUGACGGCGUGCCUUUUGGAGAAUGAUCCUGCGAGUUACGAUUAGUUGCGAGGUUAAGGAAACGGAGCCGAAGGGAAACCGAGUCUGAAUAGGGCGCUAGUAGCUAGUCGUAGACGCGAAACCCGGUGAUCUAUUCCUGCCCAGGAUGAAGCUGUGGUAAUACAUAGUGGAGGUCCGAACCGACCAUCGUUGAAAAGCUGGCGGAUGAGGCAGGUAUAGGGGUGAAAAGCCAAUCGAACUGGGAGAUAGCUCGUUCUCUCCGAAAUGCAUUUAGGUGCAGCCUUUGAAGAAAAAUCUAUGGGGGUAGAGCGACUGGAUACCGUAGGGGGCGUAAAGCUUACCGAAAGCAACCAAACUCCGAAUACUGUAGAUGGAAAUCAAGGAGUGAGACUACGGGUGCUAACAUCCGUGGUCAAAAGGGAAACAACCCAGACCACCAGCUAAGGUCCCUAAAUCAUAUCUAAGUGGGAAAGGAAGUGGAGAUUCAUAGACAACCAGGAUGUUGGCUUAGAAGCAGCCAUACAUUUAAAGAGUGCGUAAUAGCUCACUGGUCGAGAGUUUCUGCGCCGACAAUGUAACGGGGCUAAGAUAUGUACCGAAGCUGUGGAAUGUAUACUUGUAUACAUUGGUAGGAGAGCGUUCUGUAGGCCUGAGAAGGAGAAGUGAAAACGACUCUGGAGGUAUCAGAAGUGAGAAUGCAGGAAUAAGUAGCGAGAAAGAGGGUGAGAAUCCCUCUCGCCGAAAAUCUAAGGAUUCCAGGGGAAGGCUCGUCCUCCCUGGGUAAGUCGGGACCUAAGCUGAGGCUAAAGAGCGUAGGCGAAUGGAUAUCAGGUAAAUAUUCCUGAACUAGUUACAAUUGUUUGAGAGAUGGAGUGACGCAGGAAGGUAUGUGCGCAUACUGACGGAAUAGUAUGUAUAAUUACGUAGCAUGGCUAUAUAGGAAAAUCCGUAUAGUUAGAUGUGAGGUUUGACAUGGAGACUAGCAAUAGUUGAAGGUACAAAUCCUACACUGCCGAGAAAAGCUUCUAUUUAGAUUGUAAGUACCCGUACCGAAAACCGACACAGGUGGAUGGAGUGAGAAACUCAAGGCGCGCAAGCUAACUAUCGCUAAGGAACUCUGCAAAAUGGCCCCGUAACUUCGGGAGAAGGGGUGCCCUUUGUUGUAAAUAGUCACGCACUAUGAAGCAAUGGGGGGUCGCAGUGAAAAGGUCCGGGCAACUGUUUAACAAAAACACAGGUCUAUGCUAAGCUGAAAGGCGACGUAUAUGGGCUGACACCUGCCCAGUGCCGGAAGGUUAAGGGGAGGAGUGAGAGCUUCGAACUGAAGCCCCGGUGAACGGCGGCCGUAACUAUAACGGUCCUAAGGUAGCGAAAUUCCUUGUCGGGUAAGUUCCGACCUGCACGAAUGGUGUAAUGAUCUGGACGCUGUCUUGGCGGUAGGCUUGGCGAAAUUGUAGUAUGGGUGAAGAUACCCAUUACCCGCAGGAGGACGGAAAGACCCCAUGGAGCUUUACUGUAGCUUGGUAUUGGGUUUUGAUUAUGUGUGUAUAGGAUAGUUGGGAGACUGUGAGAUAAUGCCGCUAGGUGUUAAGGAGUCGUCGGUGGAAUACCAACCACACAUCGUUGAAAUUCUAAUCUGGGAAGUGAAUUCUUGGAGACAGUGCUAGGUGGGCAGUUUGACUGGGGCGGUCGCCUCCCAAAGAGUAACGGAGGCGCCCAAAGGUUCCCUCAGACUGGAUGGAAAUCAGUCGUAGAGUGCAAAGGCAUAAGGGAGCUUGACUGUGAGACAGACAUGUCGAACAGGGUCGAAAGACGGGCUUAGUGAUCCGGUGGUUCCGCAUGGAAGGGCCAUCGCUCAACGGAUAAAAGCUACCCUGGGGAUAACAGGCUGAUACUACCCGAGAGUCCAUAUCGACGGUAGUGUUUGGCACCUCGAUGUCGGCUCAUCUUAUCCUGGGGCUGGAGAAGGUCCCAAGGGUUGGGCUGUUCGCCCAUUAAAAAGGUACGUGAGCUGGGUUCAGAACGUCGUGAGACAGUUCGGUCCCUAUC
Molecule: ribosomal RNA, 2652 nt
Filed under: freshwater metagenome
Description: bacterial LSU rRNA
Rfam family: Bacterial large subunit ribosomal RNA
Source: RNAcentral